Small nuclear RNA from Lytechinus pictus (painted urchin), 117 nucleotides. RefSeq annotates it as U5 spliceosomal RNA. The transcript has a single exon. The record is from RefSeq and is a predicted model, not a curated record. NCBI's taxonomy places the organism in Eukaryota, Metazoa, Echinodermata, Echinoidea, Temnopleuroida, Toxopneustidae.
UCUCCGUGGGUUGACUUCAUAACACACAAAUCUUUCGCCUUUUACGAAAGAUUCCGUUUAGAGGACCAAUAAAAUUGGAAUUUAAUGAUUUAUUUCGGCUUUGUCCUUGGACGAGGC